Molecule: ribosomal RNA, 488 nt
Filed under: uncultured bacterium
Lineage: Bacteria
Description: partial 16S ribosomal RNA
Rfam family: Bacterial small subunit ribosomal RNA
Source: RNAcentral
GACGAACGCUGGCGGCGUGCUUAACACAUGCAAGUCGAACGGAAAGGCCAUGCGUUUGCGCGUUGCUCGAGUGGCGAACGGGGGAGUAACACGCGUGUAUCCUGCCCUUGACUUUGGGGUAUCUUCAGGAAACUGGGGCUAAUACCGGAGAGGAGCUCCUGCUGCAUGGUGGUGGAUGGAAAGUUUCGGCGUUGGGGGAUGGACUCGCGCCGUAUUCGCUAGUUGGGGGGGUAGUGGCUUACCAAGGCUACGAUGGGUAGCCGACCUGAGAGGGUGAUCGGCCACACUGGAACUGAGACGCGGUCCAGAGUCCUACGGGAGGCAGCAGUAGGGAAUCUUCCGCAAUGGGCGAAAGCGUGACGGAGCAACGCCGCGUGAGUGAUGAAGGUCUUCGGAUCGUAAAACGCUGUUAUUAGGGAAGAACAAAUGUGUAAGUAACUAUGCACGUCUUGACGGUACCUAAUCAGAAAGCCACGGCUAACUACGUG